RNAcentral lists this ribosomal RNA (468 nucleotides) under uncultured bacterium. Its description in RNAcentral is "partial 16S ribosomal RNA". It matches the Rfam family "Bacterial small subunit ribosomal RNA", at positions 28 to 507 of the family's 1533-position model. The record is from RNAcentral.
GACGAACGCUGGCGGCGUGCUUAACACAUGCAAGUCGAACGGAAAGGCCCUGCUUUUGUGGGGUGCUCGAGUGGCGAACGGGUGUUUAACACGUGAGUAACCUGCCCUUGACUUUGGGAUAACUUCAGGAAGCUGGGGCUAAUACCGGAUAGGAGCUCCUGCUGCAUGGUGGGGGUUGGAAAGUUUCGGCGGUUGGGGAUGGACUCGCGGCUUAUCAGCUUGUUGGUGGGGUAGUGGCUUACCAAGGCUUUGACGGGUAGCCGGCCUGAGAGGGUGACCGGCCACAUUGGGACUGAGAUACGGCCCAGACUCCUACGGGAGGCAGCAGUGGGGAAUAUUGCUCAAUGGGCGGAAGCCUGAUGCAGCAACGCCGCGUGCGGGAUGACGGCCUUCGGGUUGUAAACCGCUUUCGCCUGUGACGAAGCGUGAGUGACGGUAAUGGGUAAAGAAGCACCGGCUAACUACGUG